CCUACGGGUGGCAGCAGUGGGGAAUAUUGCACAAUGGGGGAAACCCUGAUGCAGCGAAGCCGCGUGAAGGAUGAAGUAUUUCGGUAUGUAAACUUCUAUCAGCAGGGAAGAAAAUGACGGUACCUGACUAAGAAGCCCCGUCUAACUACGUGCCAGAAGCCGCGGUACUACGUAGGGGGCAGGCGUUAUCCGGAUUUACUGGGUGUAAAGGGAGCGUAGACGGUAUGGCAAGUCUGAUGUGAAAACCCGGGGCUCAACCCCGGGACUGCCUUUGAAACUGCCGAACUAGAGUGUCGGAGAGGUAAGUGGAAUGCCUAGUGUAGCGGUGAAAUGCGUAGAUAUUAGGCGGAACACCAGUUGCGAAGGCGGCUUGCUGGGCGAUGACUGACGUUGAGGCUCGAAAGCGUGGGGAGCAAACAGGAUUAGAUACCCCAGUAGUC
Molecule: ribosomal RNA, 440 nt
Filed under: uncultured bacterium
Lineage: Bacteria
Description: partial 16S ribosomal RNA
Rfam family: Bacterial small subunit ribosomal RNA
Source: RNAcentral